Zea mays is the source of this 1024-nucleotide long non-coding RNA. RefSeq lists it as uncharacterized. The transcript is spliced from 2 exons. Lineage: Eukaryota; Viridiplantae; Streptophyta; Magnoliopsida; Poales; Poaceae. The record is from RefSeq and is a predicted model, not a curated record.
GGACAGCGACCUCUGCACCUUCUGUGGCUUCCCCAUGUGCCGCCCCUGCUACGAGUACAAUCGCAAGGAUGACACCCAGGCGUGCCCGCAGUGCAAGACCAACAAGCGCCACCAAGGUAUGCCAGCCGCCGCCAUUUCCAUCUAUUUCCAUGUACUUCAUGUUAAUUAAAGUGCAUCAUGCUAGGCUUCAACAACAACUGAAGUCAGCCAGGUGGUUGUGUUUUAGUCGCUUGGAGCAUGUAGUAAUUUAGUGUUUGGCAAAUUUAUUCAGAUUCUCACCAUAAUCUUGCUCUCUUAGUGAAUUGUACUCCAAUUGUAGUGUUGAGUUACAUUGCCCGCAAGAGCCGCAAGAGUGAAAUUUGUUGGCUUCAACGAUUCACAAAGGACAAUAAUCAAAGAUGUUAUUCGCAUUGCUAGGCUGGAAUUAGGGUCUUAUUAAAGAGUGGUAUUUGAAAGGACAAUAAUCAAAGAGUGGUAUUUGAAAGUGAUGUCUCUAUAAAUGAAGUAAGGCAGGGAAAUGCUUAUGUUACUGUUGUCAGUUAUUAGCUUUUUAAAACAUGCAUCUGUCAAUGUGUCCUGUUUCAAUAGGGUCUUAUUUAUAGGACGUGAUGCCAUUGAAUUAGGAUGUUUGUUCUUCUGCUACCUUUGUUAAAAACAUCAGAUCAUUCGUAUUGUAUCCUUCCUCGGAUUGCUUCUUUUGUUCUACUACAAAUAUUCUCAACAUGGCAGGGAGAGGUAUGCUCCUAAAUUUCUUAUUUUGUGCAUUGUGAAAUGAUUGUUCUAACAACAUCAGUUUUGUGUUCUUCAUAUAAUCUAUCUCAGAUUGCUCUGUGUUUUGCAGGUCUCGAGGUCAAGCCUGGACCCACUGUCAAGUGUGUGCUUGGACAUGACUUUAUCCUGCACUUUCCAGUGCUGCACUUAGGGAAUCAAAGAAAAGUGAAAGUGCCAUGUCAAAGUUGAUGACCAGAAGCUUGCUAUUGGAACCCUCUCUAUUGAAAAAUACCCCUAGAUAGAAAUUGAUUUG